CCUACGGGAGGCAGCAGUGGGGAAUAUUGCACAAUGGGGGAAACCCUGAUGCAGCGACGCCGCGUGCGUGAAGAAGUAAUUCGUUAUGUAAAGCUCUAUCAGCAGGGUAGAAAAUGACGGUACCUGAGUAAGAAGUCCCGGCUAACUACGUGCCAGCAGCCGCGGUAAUACGUAGGGGGCAAGCGUUAUCCGGAUUUACUGGGUGGAAAGGGAGCGUAGGCGGCAGUGCAAGUCUGGAGGUAAAGGUGUGGGCUCAACCCCCGGACUGCACUGGAAACUGUACGGCUGGAGUGCAGGAGAGGUAAGUGGAAUUCCUAGUGUAGCGGUGAAAUGCGUAGAUAUUAGGAGGAACACCAGUGGCGAAGGCGGCUUACUGGACUGUAACUGACGUUGAGGCUCGAAAGCGUGGGGAGCAAACAGGAUUAGAUACCCUUGUAGUC
Molecule: ribosomal RNA, 440 nt
Filed under: uncultured bacterium
Lineage: Bacteria
Description: partial 16S ribosomal RNA
Rfam family: Bacterial small subunit ribosomal RNA
Source: RNAcentral